Long non-coding RNA from Oreochromis niloticus (Nile tilapia), 1126 nucleotides. RefSeq lists it as uncharacterized. NCBI's taxonomy places the organism in Eukaryota, Metazoa, Chordata, Actinopteri, Cichliformes, Cichlidae. The record is from RefSeq and is a predicted model, not a curated record. The transcript has 3 exons.
GAAUAUCCUGAAUAUAAUGACUUUGACAGUUUUCCACUUGAUUAAUUCUGAUCAAAAACACUUUAUGCCACCAGAACAACUAUGACCUAUCAAGGUUUGGACUCCACAAUAUCUCUGCUGGUGUCUAAUAGUAUCAGGCAGAUCCUUUCAGUUCUGUCAGUUGUGAGGUGGGUCUUCCACUGAUUGUUGUUCCAGGGGUCAGCAUAAGAAGUCUGUCAUUUCAUAAGUUUUCACUUGUAUUAUUAUUUUGAAAGAGAUCUGGUUUCCUGUUUUGUUUUGGUUUUUGUCUCUGCCUGAAAUACAUGCAUGACAUUUUUAUUCUGCUUUUUCCACAUUUCAGCAAUCUCCUCACCAAACAGUGGCACAGAAAAGUCAAGUCCAGAUCGACUGCAGUCAUAAUGAUGGGAACCUUGCUCUAAUGCUCUGACCUUUGCUGAACAAAGCCGUGUUUAACCUACAACAGCACAAACUUGGAGGAUGUCAGCUGUGAUCGGGUUUCUUCUCGUCUUCCUUUCAAGUCAAGCUACCAGUGUGACCUUUCAACCAUCUCAUCCAAGAAUAGUCACUGAAACAACCAAUGUUGAAAUUACAUGCAGUCAUGAUAAAAAUGACUUCUAUCUAAUGCUUUGGUACCAGCAAAAAGAAAAUGGUUUAAUGAGCCUCAUAGGAUACAGCUACACAGGCAGUGUCCCUGUCAAGGAGGAACAAUUUGACAAUCGGUUUGAGAUUACAAGAAAAAACAUGCAAACAGGAGCUCUGAGCAUCAGCAGUGUGAUUGUAUCAGACUCAGCCAUGUACUUCUGUGCUGCCAGCACACAGUGAUGUGUUUUGGUGUAAUGCCAAUGCUAAAAACCUUCUUCUUUCUGAACCAGGCUGCUGGAAUGUGCCUCAAAAAUGUCUUUUUAGGCAAACUUUCAGUGGUUCAAACUCACAGUGUCUUUACUCCACAUACACACCAGUGAGCCUGGGGUGCCCACUUCCUUAAACCAGUUUUUGAGACCCUCUGAGUUCAUGUCAAAGUUUUUUAAUAACGUUUUUACACUUGCCAAGUACUUCUUUUUUACAACACAUCAACUUCACUUGCUGACAUAUAAUCUUAUUAUAUUUGCAGGCUACAUGCUGUAAA